AGAGUUUGAUCCUGGCUCAGAGUGAACGCUGGCGGCGUGCUUAACACAUGCAAGUCGAACGAGAACGGGUUAUAGUUUACUAUAACUGUCAGCUAAGUGGCGCACGGGUGAGUAAUAUAUAGGUAAUGUGCCCUAGAGAGGGGGAUAACAUUUGGAAACGAAUGCUAACACCCCAUAUGCCUUUAUCACAUAAGUGAGCAAGGGAAAUAUUUAUAGCUCUAGGAUCGGCCUGUACGGUAUCAGUUAGUUGGUGAGGUAAUGGCUCACCAAGACAAUGACGCCUAACUGGUUUGAGAGGAUGAUCAGUCACACUGGAACUGAGACACGGUCCAGACUCCUACGGGAGGCAGCAGUGGGGAAUAUUGCACAAUGGGGGAAACCCUGAUGCACCAACGCCGCGUGGAGGAUGACACAUUUCGGUGCGUAAACUCCUUUUAUAUAGGAAGAUAAUGACGGUACUAUAUGAAUAAGCGCCGGCUAACUCCGUGCCAGCAGCCGCGGUAAUACGGAGGGCGCAAGCGUUACUCGGAAUCACUGGGCGUAAAGAGCGUGUAGGCGGAUAAAUAAGUUUGAAGUGAAAUCCUAUGGCUCAACCAUAGAACUGCUUUGAAAACUGUUUAUCUAGAAUAUGGGAGAGGUAGAUGGAAUUUCUGGUGUAGGGGUAA
RNAcentral lists this ribosomal RNA (665 nucleotides) under uncultured Campylobacterota bacterium. Its description in RNAcentral is "bacterial SSU rRNA". It matches the Rfam family "Bacterial small subunit ribosomal RNA", at positions 8 to 684 of the family's 1533-position model. Lineage: Bacteria; Pseudomonadati; Campylobacterota. The record is from RNAcentral.